GGAAGUUCGAGAGUGGUAGUUGUGUGGGAAAGGUUAUGACAAAUGGAAAGUGAGCCUCCUUAUAUCAUCACCUAUUUCCGCUGGACAGGCUAGUAGCUCCCAGAGAACUCAAGGAAGGACUUCGCUGAUUGAUUCGGAAUCGUAUAAGCAUUACUACCCCUUGUUAUUGUGUGGCACCUGGCAAAAAUCUAGGGAUUUCUGGUAAACGAUGUGAUGGAGAUGAACGCCUGUGAUAAAUCAAUCAGGACAUCAAGACAUGUGUUUAUAAA
This is a long non-coding RNA of Helianthus annuus (common sunflower), 269 nucleotides long. RefSeq lists it as uncharacterized. The transcript has 2 exons. Lineage: Eukaryota; Viridiplantae; Streptophyta; Magnoliopsida; Asterales; Asteraceae. The record is from RefSeq and is a predicted model, not a curated record.